UCUAUACCUUGUAGAUCAUGAGUUUGCUGCAAAUAAACUCAGAAGGUUUGUGAUCGAUGUCCUAAGUUGGUGGACUUGUAGGAUUGCUUCUGUUUCUGAGAGGCUAAAAUUAGUGGUAAUCCUAAAACAAACACUGCUCUGAUCAGAAGUCGUCAUGUUUGACUAGACCUCUGGAUCAUGUCUGCAUGCAGUAUGCAGGAUUCAAAUGAAUGCUGGGAAGUAAACUUUACUGGUUGAAAUUGGAAUUUGAUUGAAACAGAACCACAAAUUACACACAGGGGUAGGCAACCUUCGG
Molecule: non-coding RNA, 295 nt
Organism: Pelobates cultripes (western spadefoot toad)
Lineage: Eukaryota; Metazoa; Chordata; Amphibia; Anura; Pelobatidae
Source: the annotation of a GenBank genome assembly